UACGGAGGGGGCUAGCGUUGUUCGGAAUUACUGGGCGUAAAGCGUACGUAGGCGGCUUUGUAAGUUAGAGGUGAAAGCCCAGAGCUCAACUCUGGAAUUGCCUUUAAGACUGCAUCGCUUGAAUCGUGGAGAGGUUAGUGGAAUUCCGAGUGUAGAGGUGAAAUUCGUAGAUAUUCGGAAGAACACCAGUGGCGAAGGCGGCUCACUGGACUGGUAUUGACGCUGAGGUGCGAAAGCGUGGGGAGCAAACAGG
RNAcentral lists this ribosomal RNA (253 nucleotides) under uncultured bacterium. RNAcentral describes it as "partial 16S ribosomal RNA". It matches the Rfam family "Bacterial small subunit ribosomal RNA", at positions 524 to 776 of the family's 1533-position model. The record is from RNAcentral.